Panthera uncia (snow leopard) is the source of this 663-nucleotide long non-coding RNA. RefSeq lists it as uncharacterized. NCBI's taxonomy places the organism in Eukaryota, Metazoa, Chordata, Mammalia, Carnivora, Felidae. The transcript has 3 exons. The record is from RefSeq and is a predicted model, not a curated record.
CACUGGGCCGGCCGCGCGGCGCGGCGCGGGAAAGCUGUGUCGGGGCGGCCGAGGCCGCGGCGCCGGGGCUGAGUGGAGGCCGGCGUCGCGCGGGGCCGCGCACGGAGGGCCCGCGUCCGCGCCGCAGAGGGGCCGCCGCGAGACGUGCCACCGUGCAGGGACGUGAUCACUUGUAUCGACGCGUCAUGCUGCCGUCUGAAAUGGAGAGGAGCACGCGGCAGUUAAGCGAAUGCGGUAAAAACAGACAGAAUUCCUGGAACGUGUUCUCAAACGCGUCAGCUCUCCUGAGGAAAACCAAUCGCACCUCUGUCUGGAGGUCUGAAGGCCCCACACCGGCCUGUGGAUCUGGACCAGGACUUAGCCACUGUGGAGUUUGCUAGUGCAUGGAGUGAGGUAUUCAACCUCGACAAGUGGCCUCGACAUUAAAUAAAAUUUUCGGAAGGAAUUUUUCAGAUUGAGAAAUUGUUCAUUUAAAUGUUCACACUGAGAAGUGCCUGGCUGGCUCAGGCAAUAGAGCGUGUGGCUCUUGAUCUCGGGGUUGUGAGUUCAAGCCCCAGCUUGGGUGUAGAGAUUCCUUAAAAAUAAAAUCUUUGAAAAUUUUCAAUAAAUAAAAUAAAUAAAAAAUAAAUGUUCCCACUCAUUUAAUAACGACGACUCCUACCU